CUAUAGAUAUGGCUACUUCUUCUGCUUCACCAGCAAUUUAAGAAAUCCUUUAUUCUGAUUGGUCCUGACAACUGAAAUUUCAUCUUCUAUGUCUUGACAACUGAAAUUUCAUCUUCCAUGUGUUCAAUGAUAGGAGAUUUUUACCUGGGAUUUUUCCUUCACCAUCUAUGCACAAAGCCCAAACAAGAUUUAAAGAUUUUAUUUAUUUAUUUAUUUUCUAAGAGACUUUCUGGCCAGUUCAACCAGCUGGAUUUCCAGAUUAUGUGACAAGAAGGAGGGAAAGAGAAGAUAAAUCCGUGACAGUAACCAAGAACAUGAGAGAAGAAUUCCAUGACAAAUUGACAAUAAUGCAUCUCCUCUAUGGUGGGCAAGAUCAUCCAGGGUAUAGCCUCAUUGUGAUUUGUGCAGCUUGCAAUCACCACUGGGAAGUCAAAUUCAAAAAUUCUGAUCCAAACCUGACUGCUUCCCUGGAAGCCAUGGGAGAGACCUGCACUUUUUCUCACUAUUAUAUAUCCAUUUUUUACCUUCCAAAUGCUCUUGCACAAGUCAGAUUUGAGCUUUGCAAUAUUGUCAAGGUUACUUGCUAUUAGAUCCUCCCUAACUCCUUGAAGGAAAGGAAACCUUUAGACUCUGUUUGGCAUCCCAGUUCACUUGCAAAUCAAGGAAAGGAAUCUAUUGAGAACAUAAAGGAGUAGCAAAGCAUAGCUUCCUUCAAGAAAUCCUUCUGUGCCGAUUGUAAUCCUCUUUGUCAUAGUGACACACCAGCUUCUCAUGGCACAAAGAACUUCAUUGAAAACUUCAGCUAUCAGAUCCCUAUCUGCACAUUGCAUGAAGACAUUGAAAUCAUCUCGAAUAUCAAAUAUCUUACCAAACUUCACAAGAUAUUGCAAGCAGUUCAUCUUCAGUUUUGGUAACUGAUACAGGGAUGCACUUUGCAGCCUCUCCAGUACAUUCUUCGUAUCUAUAUCCUCCAAUAGACUGUCAUGGCAUGCCUCUUUCAAGUCAGCAAUAUCAUAUUUAUCAGCUGCUCGAAGAAGUGCCAGACGGUGGACCUGGAAUUCUUCAUGUUGAAUGCUUCCAUAAAUGUAAUUGAGAAAAGCCUGGCAAGCUUCAAUCGACAUAUCAGAGAUGUUUAUGGUAGACAACUCCUUCUCUUUCAAGUCAUGAGCAAACAUGCUUCGGAAAACAGGUGAUCUUGCGGCAAGGACGGCUCGAUGGGCUCCAAUGCUUCCAUCAGAAGCAUUAAUUGUAAUGUCUGUAUGGAUGCUUUCUGUCAACAUUCGACCAAGGGUUGCAAGAGCUGUUGCAUUUGAUUGCCCUUUUGCAGAUCCUUCAGCCCAGAUGGAACAAGGUUCUCCUCCCUGUAUAUUGAAAAGCAAAUCACAUUUGUUAAAAUAAAGGCAAAGAACCCUUCUUCUACACUAGAUUUCAACAGCACUAGCUCCCAUGUGAAAAAAAAAUGAUACACCAGUUGGGUAUUCUAUAAUGGUAAGCAGAUAGAAAAUUUUGGCUCCUUUUCGUUCAACUUGAAGGAUUUUUUGCUAUUUAAAUGUUGUUCUAAUGAAGAUUGCUUUUUUUUUGUGGUCA
Long non-coding RNA from Hevea brasiliensis (rubber tree), 1587 nucleotides. RefSeq lists it as uncharacterized. The transcript has 4 exons. NCBI's taxonomy places the organism in Eukaryota, Viridiplantae, Streptophyta, Magnoliopsida, Malpighiales, Euphorbiaceae. The record is from RefSeq and is a predicted model, not a curated record.